Molecule: long non-coding RNA, 1213 nt
Filed under: Triticum aestivum (bread wheat)
Lineage: Eukaryota; Viridiplantae; Streptophyta; Magnoliopsida; Poales; Poaceae
Description: long non-coding RNA (TAES_LNC015805)
Source: RNAcentral
CAUGAUCGCCGCUGACCUCCCGGUGAACCAUGUGCGCCACCAUCAGCGACCUCCUUCAACUCCACAUGUAUCAGAGGUGGGAGCUCUCCUUCCUAUCUAUCUCCUCAGAUUUGAACUGCAUUUAUUUUUUACUUAGAUUGGUUGGAAGGCCUGAUUUUCAAUUGGGGUAACUGUGCUGGGAAGGGUGAGGGAGCCAAGCCCCAAUCGUAGUUCGGUGGCGUGAUGGAUCCAGAUCGAUGCCAACCAUGGACAUGUACGCCGGAUCUCAAUCAAAGUACGAUCUCUAUCGCCAAAGGUAGGAGCAGGAAGAUGAGGUCGUUCCCAUAGUAUAUUUGUGCAGAUCUUCCCACCUGUAUCGUUCCCCUGAAGCCAUAUAUGUUCUUUUAGUGGAAGAGAUGCGUACUUACUGUAAAUUCAGAUGAGGUCGUUCCGUUCGUAUAUUUGUCCAGAUCUUUGCUGUACGGGCCUGAUGUGUACUGUAAAUGCACCUUACUUUUCCAUUUUUUUGUUGAUGGGUAUGUGGCUCGUGGUCAUGUACAAAUACUAGGAUGUAUGAAUGUGCAGAUUGGAAAAUUCAUCACAGUACUGCAUGGGGGGUCCUAUCAUCCACCAUCCAGAAUUUUUGUGCGUUAGUUUGUUCAAAUUUUCUUGAAGUUUAUAUAUAGCCAUAUCAUUUGUGGUUCAACUUAUUCUGCAGAGAGUUUGGUUGGUCUGCUUGGAUAAGGAUUUAGGAGGUGCUUUCAGUUAGAGUUGAUGAAUUUCUAUUGUGCUAUUCAGCACCUUCAGAGUAGUAUUCUGUAAGGUUCUUUAUGAUAAAAAGCAAUUUAUUUUUGAAAGAUUUGUGGCUGGAAUUUUCCUUUCAUUUUGCUUACACGUUCGUUGUAGUUAUCUCCCUCUCUCUGUACGUUGUUACAUAAUAUGACUUGAUGGUGAUUUAGUUUGCAACAUUUGUGAAGCCAGGCUAUGUCUACAGGUUUUGUUGUUCUUUCUAGACAUGCCCAGGGUCCCACUGGGCUUUGUUGGUGGAUUCCUUUCUAAAAUCCUGUUUGUUGAAGUGAUAUAUAAUGUAAUGUUAGGUUAAUUUUUUUAGCUUUCACCCACUUGAUGAUGAGAAGGCAAGCAAUACGAGCAGAAAAACAUGUGUAGUAUCGAAUUUGCAGUUGGAUAUAUUACUUCACCGUUUUGUUAUUCAAGAAUAAUUUAUUUGUCCCCG